UGAUCCUGGCUCAGAACGAACGCUGGCGGCAGGCUUAACACAUGCAAGUCGAACGGUCUCUUCGGAGGCAGUGGCAGACGGGUGAGUAACGCGUGGGAAUCUACCUAUCUCUACGGAACAACAGUUGGAAACGACUGCUAAUACCGUAUACGCCCUUAGGGGGAAAGAUUUAUCGGAGAUAGAUGAGCCCGCGUUAGAUUAGCUAGUUGGUGAGGUAAUGGCUCACCAAGGCGACGAUCUAUAGCUGGUCUGAGAGGAUGAUCAGCCACACUGGGACUGAGACACGGCCCAGACUCCUACGGGAGGCAGCAGUGGGGAAUAUUGGACAAUGGGCGCAAGCCUGAUCCAGCCAUGCCGCGUGUGUGAUGAAGGCCCUAGGGUUGUAAAGCACUUUCAACGGUGAAGAUAAUGACGGUAACCGUAGAAGAAGCCCCGGCUAACUUCGUGCCAGCAGCCGCGGUAAUACGAAGGGGGCUAGCGUUGUUCGGAAUUACUGGGCGUAAAGCGUACGUAGGCGGACUAUUAAGUUAGGGGUGAAAUCCCAGGGCUCAACCCUGGAACUGCCUCUAAUACUGGUAGUCUUGAGUUCGAGAGAGGUGAGUGGAAUUCCGAGUGUAGAGGUGAAAUUCGUAGAUAUUCGGAGGAACACCAGUGGCGAAGGCGGCUCACUGGCUCGAUACUGACGCUGAGGUACGAAAGUGUGGGGAGCAAACAGGAUUAGAUACCCUGGUAGU
This 734-nucleotide ribosomal RNA is filed under the name uncultured marine bacterium. RNAcentral describes it as "bacterial SSU rRNA". It matches the Rfam family "Bacterial small subunit ribosomal RNA", at positions 14 to 794 of the family's 1533-position model. The record is from RNAcentral.